UGGGGAAUAUUGCACAAUGGGCGCAAGCCUGAUGCAGCCAUGCCGCGUGUAUGAAGAAGGCCUUCGGGUUGUAAAGUACUUUCAGCGGGGAGGAAGGUGUUGUGGUUAAUAACCACAGCAAUUGACGUUACCCGCAGAAGAAGCACCGGCUAACUCCGUGCCAGCAGCCGCGGUAAUACGGAGGGUGCAAGCGUUAAUCGGAAUUACUGCGCGUAAAGCGCACGCAGGCGGUCUGUCAAGUCGGAUGUGAAAUCCCCGGGCUCAACCUGGGAACUGCAUCCGAAACUGGCAGGCUUGAGUCUUGUAGAGGGGGGUAGAAUUCCAGGUGUAGCGGUGAAAUGCGUAGAGAUCUGGAGGAAUACCGGUGGCGAAGGCGGCCCCCUGGACAAAGACUGACGCUCAGGUGCGAAAGCGUGGGGAGCAAACA
This 427-nucleotide ribosomal RNA is filed under the name uncultured bacterium. RNAcentral describes it as "partial 16S ribosomal RNA". It matches the Rfam family "Bacterial small subunit ribosomal RNA", at positions 355 to 774 of the family's 1533-position model. The record is from RNAcentral.